This 403-nucleotide long non-coding RNA is filed under the name Mytilus galloprovincialis (Mediterranean mussel). The record is from RNAcentral. Lineage: Eukaryota; Metazoa; Mollusca; Bivalvia; Mytilida; Mytilidae.
CUUGUCGUUUUCAUUUCUGUUGCAGAUGCAACUAUAAUGUUUAUUUAUUAUUCUUAUUGAUUUACCACAAUUAUUUCUUCAAUGAGUACAUCAAUAUCUUAGGUCAUAUGCUGCAAAAGAUGUGAGAAGCCUACUACAUGUAUGGUAACCAGUUCAUGGUAACUAGUUCUUCAAUAGGGGUGUUUAACGACCUUGACUACCCUUGAGGGUCUCACAUGGCCUGAUAUUCUACAUUACCAUGGGUACUGGUACAUUUAAAAAUAUGUUAUUUUUAUCAAAAUGAAUUACAAAAUGUUGAUCAAAACAAUACAUGUACAUUAAUAUUUAUUUUCUAGCAAAAAUAUAUUUGUUUUAAUUUUAUUUAAAACCUUAAAAUCAAUUUAUAGAUAUAUAUAAUCACCAC